This 702-nucleotide ribosomal RNA is filed under the name uncultured beta proteobacterium. RNAcentral's name for it is "bacterial SSU rRNA". It matches the Rfam family "Bacterial small subunit ribosomal RNA", at positions 76 to 773 of the family's 1533-position model. Lineage: Bacteria; Pseudomonadati; Pseudomonadota; Betaproteobacteria. The record is from RNAcentral.
GUGCUUGCACCUGGUGGCGAGUGGCGAACGGGUGAGUAAUACAUCGGAACAUGUCCUGUAGUGGGGGAUAGCCCGGCGAAAGCCGGAUUAAUACCGCAUACGAUCUACGGAUGAAAGCGGGGGACCUUCGGGCCUCGCGCUAUAGGGUUGGCCGAUGGCUGAUUAGCUAGUUGGUGGGGUAAAGGCCUACCAAGGCGACGAUCAGUAGCUGGUCUGAGAGGACGACCAGCCACACUGGGACUGAGACACGGCCCAGACUCCUACGGGAGGCAGCAGUGGGGAAUUUUGGACAAUGGGCGAAAGCCUGAUCCAGCAAUGCCGCGUGUGUGAAGAAGGCCUUCGGGUUGUAAAGCACUUUUGUCCGGAAAGAAAUCCUUGGUUCUAAUAUAGCCGGGGGAUGACGGUACCGGAAGAAUAAGCACCGGCUAACUACGUGCCAGCAGCCGCGGUAAUACGUAGGGUGCGAGCGUUAAUCGGAAUUACUGGGCGUAAAGCGUGCGCAGGCGGUUUGCUAAGACCGAUGUGAAAUCCCCGGGCUCAACCUGGGAACUGCAUUGGUGACUGGCAGGCUAGAGUAUGGCAGAGGGGGGUAGAAUUCCACGUGUAGCAGUGAAAUGCGUAGAGAUGUGGAGGAAUACCGAUGGCGAAGGCAGCCCCCUGGGCCAAUACUGACGCUCAUGCACGAAAGCGUGGGGAGCAAAC